GUCGAACGAAGGGAAGGGGGCUUGCCCCCUGAACUUAGUGGCGGACGGCUGAGUAACACGUGAGCAACCUGCCCUAUAGAGGGGGAUAACGUUUGGAAACGAACGCUAAUACCGCAUAACGCGCUGGGGGGACAUCCCUUUGGCGCCAAAGGAGCAAUCCGCUAUAGGAUGGGCUCGCGUCCGAUUAGAUAGUUGGCGGGGUAACGGCCCACCAAGUCGACGAUCGGUAGCCGGACUGAGAGGUUGAACGGCCACAUUGGGACUGAGACACGGCCCAGACUCCUACGGGAGGCAGCAGUGGGGGAUAUUGCACAAUGGAGGGAACUCUGAUGCAGCGACGCCGCGUGAGGGAAGAAGGUUUUCGGAUUGUAAACCUCUGUCUUCGGUGACGAAACGAGACGGUAGCCGAGGAGGAAGCCACGGCUAACUACGUGCCAGCAGCCGCGGUAAUACGUAGGUGGCAAGCGUUGUCCGGAAUUACUGGGUGUAAAGGGAGCGUAGGCGGGAAAGCAAGUUGAAUGUUUAAGGUACGGGCUCAACCUGUACAAGCGUUCAAAACUGUUUUUCUUGAGUGGAGUAGAGGUAAGCGGAAUUCCUAGUGUAGCGGUGAAAUGCGUAAAUAUUAGGAGGAACACCAGUGGCGAAGGCGGCUUACUGGGCUUUAACUGACGCUGAGGCUCGAAAGCGUGGGUAGCAAACAGGAUUAGAUACCCUGGUAGUCCACGCCGUANACGAUGAUUGCUAGGUGUGGGGGGACNGACCCCUUCCGUGCCGGAGUUAACACAAUAAGUAAUCCACCUGGGGAGUACGACCGCAAGGUUGAAACUCAAAGGAAUUGACGGGGGCCCGCACAAGCAGUGGAGUAU
RNAcentral lists this ribosomal RNA (866 nucleotides) under uncultured bacterium. RNAcentral describes it as "bacterial SSU rRNA". It matches the Rfam family "Bacterial small subunit ribosomal RNA", at positions 61 to 940 of the family's 1533-position model. The record is from RNAcentral.